GUUUUUUGCCUUCAAUGAUCGUGUAAAAUUUUGGUCUUUGAUGAUCCUUCCUUUGUCCAAAUCCAUUUUCUAGGGUUUCUAUGUUUAAUGCCUUGACUAUUGAUGAACUAUUGGAUUUCAUAUGUUAAAUUAUUUCUCAUUUUCUUUGUAGAACAUUUUUUUUGGGGGGAGGUCUAAGCCUAGGCCAUGUCUCAAACUUAUUUACAGUGAGAUUGGAUUUUUGGCAUUUGGUUGCAUGCCCUUGGAACUGUUAGCCGCUACCAUGGCGGAUUUGAUAAAAUUUUGUUGCAGUUUGGUUUUCACUUAUAAUGUCACAAAGGCCCUCCAUCUAUUGCACUUUAAACUGUUCUAAAAGGGGAAAUUGAAGGUUGAGAAUGUCUUAAGCGUUUUCACUUAAAAUGUUAUGAUGCUUUGCAAAAGUUUAGUGUCCGUUCACUUGUGAAAGGCUGUGUAGUUUUCUGUAAAAAAAUUGUACGAGUUUUUAAACGUAGAGUUGGAG
This 499-nucleotide unclassified non-coding RNA is filed under the name Hevea brasiliensis (rubber tree). Lineage: Eukaryota; Viridiplantae; Streptophyta; Magnoliopsida; Malpighiales; Euphorbiaceae. The record is from RNAcentral.